Molecule: non-coding RNA, 828 nt
Organism: Macaca mulatta (Rhesus monkey)
Lineage: Eukaryota; Metazoa; Chordata; Mammalia; Primates; Cercopithecidae
Source: RefSeq, a predicted model, not a curated record
GGGACUUUUGUGUGGGGGUCUUUUUAUGUUGAUGUUGAUGUUGUUGCUUUCUGUUUCUUAUUUUGUCUUCUAACAGUCGGGCCCCUCUUCUACGGGUCUGCUACAGUUUGCUGGAGGUCCACAGCAGACCCUGUUUCCCUGGGUAUCACCAGUGGAGGCUGCAGAACAGCAAAGAUUGCUCCUUGCCCCUUCCUCUGGAAGCUUCGUCCCAGCAGGGCACAGACAUGAUGCCAGCUGGAACUCUCCUAUAUGAGAACUCCACUAGGGUGGAUGGAGAGGAAGAGACUAAGGAUUCACAUCUCACAAAGACAUUUAUGGAAGACUGAGUGUGUUUCCAGUAUCUUUCAGAGUUUGCAAAUGAGGCGGUGCCCAGCAUAGACAGGUUCUUUGCCCACCCAUCCUGAAUCCACAAGGCCAUAGAUGCAGACAGGAUAUUUAAUAAAGUUCAACACUGAGGCCUGACAAACACUGUGCAAGAAAGCUCAAACAGAAAGGAAGUUUCUUAUUCUGAUUGAGAAUACAUCAUACUUCUGGUAUGCUACUGAAAGCUUCUGAGGUUGGGAAUAAGACAAGGGCUCUGGCUGUCACCAUUUCUCUUGAACCUUACAGUGGAAUUUGGCAUUCGGGAAUUGCAAGUCAACACAGUGGCCACUCAAGGAGAAGCAAGGGGUGGCUGGAAGGAGAGGUGCCCCUGGAGUUCUGUAAAAUCUCUUUCUUGAUGUGCCUUUGAGUGUUCUCUUUGUGAAAAUUCUUUGAACUGCACUCUUAUGAUUUGUGCAUAUUUCCCUAUGAAAAUUAUACCUCAAUAAAAUAUUGACUUAAAUAACA